GUGAAAUGGUUGUCUUGCUCUGUGCUGCCUCACCUCCAGCACUGAGGGCAGUAUUGGGCACAAUAGCACAAAAAGAUCGUAAAACUGUUAGUUAGAGAGUGUCCAAAGGAGGGCUGCAAAGAUGGAGAAGGGUCUGGAGGACAAGGUGUGUGAGGAGCACUGAGGCCCCUGGCGUUGCUCAGCCCAGAGCAGAGGAGCUGAGGGAUGGCCUCAUGGCGGCUGUAGCUCCUCACAGGGAGCGGAGGGCAGUGCUGAGCUCUGCUCUCUGUGACAGGGACUGAGGUGAUGGCAUGGAGCUGUGUCAGGGGAGGGGCAGUUGGGGGUUAGGGACAGGGUCUGCCCAGAGGACGGUGGGCACGGAAUAGGCUGCCCAGUGCAGUGGGCACAGCACCAGUGCCAGAGCUCUGGGAGUGCUGGGGCACCACUCUCAGAGAUCAGGUUUGGGUAGUGCUGUGCAGAGUUGGGAGUUGGGCUCCGUGAUCCCUGGGGGUCUCUUCCAACUCAGGAUACUGUGUGAUUCAGAAUUACAGUGAAAGCCCCAGGGCUGCAAGACACUGCGUGUUCUUCCUGUUGAGUGCUGUUGAGUUCCUCUCAGACCAAGUCAAUGUUUGUCUUAUGCAAAUGUUCUCUGCAGAGGUUAAUACAGAGUGCAGCUGCCUUGGUAAUGCUGUUUUUGCUCCAGUGCUUUGGGACCAAAUAGCCUGAAGUCAAGACUGGUUGUCUGUGAAAAGGUUUCCUGUAGCUCCAGAAAGCAACCAGGUCCCAGCUCUUCCAGCAUCAGACAUCAGGAGAAGCCUCUUUCUGCCAGUCACUUGAAUGCCCUGGUGCAGGACACAGUCAAGGGAUAUGGUGAACAGAUCUGUCACUUGGUUCAGUGCUCUGGCACUGGUGCCAGCAGGCUGGAGGAAAUUUAACAAGAUAUUGAAAACUUUCCUGUAGGAUAAACUGCUGACAGUUCAGAAGAAUUGGGUGAGUACUUGUCAAACUGAGC
RNAcentral lists this long non-coding RNA (991 nucleotides) under Numida meleagris (helmeted guineafowl). RNAcentral's name for it is "lncRNA (ENSNMEG00000010519.1)". Lineage: Eukaryota; Metazoa; Chordata; Aves; Galliformes; Numididae. The record is from RNAcentral.